Molecule: ribosomal RNA, 498 nt
Filed under: Staphylococcus pseudintermedius
Lineage: Bacteria; Bacillati; Bacillota; Bacilli; Caryophanales; Staphylococcaceae
Description: partial 23S ribosomal RNA
Rfam family: Bacterial large subunit ribosomal RNA
Source: RNAcentral
AAUACAUAGCAUGCAAGAAGGCAGACCCGGAGAACUGAAACAUCUUAGUACCCGGAGGAAGAGAAAGAAAAAUCGAUUCCCUGAGUAGCGGCGAGCGAAACGGGAAGAGCCCAAACCAAUAAGCUUGCUUAUUGGGGUUGUAGGACACUCUGUACGGAGUUACAAAAGAAUUUGUUAGACGAAUAACCUGGAAAGGUUAAUCAGAGAAGGUAAUAAUCCUGUAGUCGAAAACGAAUUCUCUCUUGAGUGGAUCCUGAGUACGACGGAGCACGUGAAAUUCCGUCGGAAUCUGGGAGGACCAUCUCCUAAGGCUAAAUACUCUCUAGUGACCGAUAGUGAACCAGUACCGUGAGGGAAAGGUGAAAAGUACCCCGGAAGGGGAGUGAAAGAGAACUUGAAACCGUGUGCUUACAAGUAGUCAGAGCCCGUUAAUGGGUGAUGGCGUGCCUUUUGUAGAAUGAACCGGCGAGUUACGAUCUGAUGCAAGGUUAAGCAGAA